Molecule: non-coding RNA, 117 nt
Filed under: Gorilla gorilla gorilla (western lowland gorilla)
Lineage: Eukaryota; Metazoa; Chordata; Mammalia; Primates; Hominidae
Source: Rfam by way of RNAcentral
GCUGGGCGUGAUGGCUCAUGCCUGUAAUCCCAACACUUUGGGAGGCCGAGGCAGGUGGAUCACUUGAGGUCAGGAGUUCGAGACCAGCCUGGCCAACACAGUGAAACCCUGUCUCUA